UUCUUAUCAAGAGAAGCCGAGGGACUGGCCCGAUGACGCUUCAGCAACCGUCGCUAUAAAAAUAGCGACAAGGUGCUAAUUCCAGCAGACGGGAAAACGUCUGAGGGAUAAGAA
Molecule: non-coding RNA, 114 nt
Filed under: Sporolactobacillus laevolacticus
Lineage: Bacteria; Bacillati; Bacillota; Bacilli; Caryophanales; Sporolactobacillaceae
Also listed under: 1 other name
Description: SAM-I sequence
Rfam family: SAM riboswitch aptamer (S box leader)
About the family: The SAM riboswitch is found upstream of a number of genes which code for proteins involved in methionine or cysteine biosynthesis in Gram-positive bacteria. The SAM riboswitch acts at the level of transcription termination control.
Source: RNAcentral